CUUAAUCAUGCUAAUUUCUUUUUAUUUAUGAUUUUAAUUAUCCCACCAAUAUAAUACCCUUAAAUUUUUAAGUAUGUAAAAUGAAAUGUUUUUUUUCUAUAGAUAUUUCAUUAAUGUCCUUGAGAGUACGAGUGGCUGGGCCGAAAAUGGCCCCAUGUCCUUUUACAUAUUAUUAAAUUUAUAAUAUUUAAAUUAUUUCCCUAUUCAAUCUGGUAGCCCCAAGGGACUAUCCCAGCUUCAUCGGUUUGAUAGGCGAUCUCACAGCGCUUAGCGUGAGUGAACUUACUAACACUAACCUUAGCAAGAGCAGUACUUCGCUGAAUCUACCACCAGAUCGGAAUCGUGACCCACUGAGAAGAUCCGGUCUAAAUGUGCGGCUUUUGAUGUAAUGAUGGACAUUUCAACGUGAAGCGUUAGGUUAAAGCAACUCAACAACAGAUGUGAUGCUCAAAAACAAAAUUUAAGAGUGCAUUAAUUUCCCUUAGAUCAUGAAUAUCUGAAGAAUCUAUCUACAUGAAGAAAGAAGAAAUCUAUUCUAGAUGAAAGAGUCUAGUUCAUGCUAAAUUUGGGCAUCAAUUAUUAAUACUUUGGACUUAAUCACAACAGAUCAAUGUGGGUCACAGUGAAUGGUUAAUUUACAGUCCCCGUGCCACUCAAUAUUAGAACAAUAUUAAAAGUUAAUGCCACUAACUAUAAA
Molecule: long non-coding RNA, 697 nt
Organism: Bombyx mori (domestic silkworm)
Lineage: Eukaryota; Metazoa; Arthropoda; Insecta; Lepidoptera; Bombycidae
Exons: 2
Source: RefSeq, a predicted model, not a curated record